Molecule: ribosomal RNA, 501 nt
Filed under: uncultured bacterium
Lineage: Bacteria
Description: bacterial SSU rRNA
Rfam family: Bacterial small subunit ribosomal RNA
Source: RNAcentral
GACGAACGCUGGCGGCGUGCUUAACACAUGCAAGUCGAACGAGAGGAGAAGGAAGCUUGCUUCUUUCAAAUCUAGUGGCAAACGGGUGAGUAACACGUAAACAACCUGCCUUCAGGAUGGGGACAACAGACGGAAACGACUGCUAAUACCGAAUACGUUCCUUAGGUCGCAUGACUUUAGGAAGAAAGGGUGGCCUCUACUUGUAAGCUAUCGCCUGAAGAGGGGUUUGCGUCUGAUUAGGUAGUUGGUGAGGUAACGGCCCACCAAGCCGACGAUCAGUAGCCGGUCUGAGAGGAUGAACGGCCACACUGGAACUGAGACACGGUCCAGACUCCUACGGGAGGCAGCAGUGGGGAAUCUUCCGCAAUGGGCGAAAGCCUGACGGAGCAACGCCGCGUGAGUGAUGACGGCCUUCGGGCUGUAAAGCUCUGUGAUCGGGGACGAACGGUCAGCAGACGAAUACUCUGCUGAAGUGACGGUACCCGAAUAGCAAGCCACGGC